GCCCAAGAGACUGGGAUAACACCUGGAAACAGAUGCUAAUACCGGAUAACAACACUAGACGCAUGUCUAGAGUUUAAAAGAUGGUUCUGCUAUCACUCUUGGAUGGACCUGCGGUGCAUUAGCUAGUUGGUAGGUAACGGCUACCAAGGCAAUGAUGCAUAGCCGAGUUGAGAGACUGAUCGGCCACAUUGGGACUGAGACACGGCCAAACUCCUACGGGAGGCAGCAGUA
This 231-nucleotide ribosomal RNA is filed under the name uncultured bacterium. RNAcentral's name for it is "partial 16S ribosomal RNA". It matches the Rfam family "Bacterial small subunit ribosomal RNA", at positions 128 to 355 of the family's 1533-position model. The record is from RNAcentral.